GUCAUGGUGGCUUAAUUGGAUAAAGCGGUUCGGUCCUAACGAAUAAGAUGCAGGUUCGAGUCCUGCCCAUGACA
Transfer RNA from Dictyostelium discoideum AX4, 74 nucleotides. It matches the Rfam family "tRNA". Rfam says of the family: Transfer RNA (tRNA) molecules are approximately 80 nucleotides in length. Their secondary structure includes four short double-helical elements and three loops (D, anti-codon, and T loops). NCBI's taxonomy places the organism in Eukaryota, Evosea, Eumycetozoa, Dictyosteliales, Dictyosteliaceae. The record is from Rfam.